AAAUUGAAGAGUUUGAUCAUGGCUCAGAUUGAACGCUGGCGGCAGGCCUAACACAUGCAAGUCGAACGGUAACAGGAAGCAGCUUGCUGCUUUGCUGACGAGUGGCGGACGGGUGAGUAAUGUCUGGGAAACUGCCUGAUGGAGGGGGAUAACUACUGGAAACGGUAGCUAAUACCGCAUAAUGUCGCAAGACCAAAGAGGGGGACCUUCGGGCCUCUUGCCAUCGGAUGUGCCCAGAUGGGAUUAGCUUGUUGGUGGGGUAACGGCUCACCAAGGCGACGAUCCCUAGCUGGUCUGAGAGGAUGACCAGCCACACUGGAACUGAGACACGGUCCAGACUCCUACGGGAGGCAGCAGUGGGGAAUAUUGCACAAUGGGCGCAAGCCUGAUGCAGCCAUGCCGCGUGUAUGAAGAAGGCCUUCGGGUUGUAAAGUACUUUCAGCGGGGAGGAAGGGAGUAAAGUUAAUACCUUUGCUCAUUGACGUUACCCGCAGAAGAAGCACCGGCUAACUCCGUGCCAGCAGCCGCGGUAAUACGGAGGGUGCAAGCGUUAAUCGGAAUUACUGGGCGUAAAGCGCACGCAGGCGGUUUGUUAAGUCAGAUGUGAAAUCCCCGGGCUCAACCUGGGAACUGCAUCUGAUACUGGCAAGCUUGAGUCUCGUAGAGGGGGGUAGAAUUCCAGGUGUAGCGGUGAAAUGCGUAGAGAUCUGGAGGAAUACCGGUGGCGAAGGCGGCCCCCUGGACGAAGACUGACGCUCAGGUGCGAAAGCGUGGGGAGCAAACAGGAUUAGAUACCCUGGUAGUCCACGCCGUAAACGAUGUCGACUUGGAGGUUGUGCCCUUGAGGCGUGGCUUCCGGAGCUAACGCGUUAAGUCGACCGCCUGGGGAGUACGGCCGCAAGGUUAAAACUCAAAUGAAUUGACGGGGGCCCGCACAAGCGGUGGAGCAUGUGGUUUAAUUCGAUGCAACGCGAAGAACCUUACCUGGUCUUGACAUCCACGGAAGUUUUCAGAGAUGAGAAUGUGCCUUCGGGAACCGUGAGACAGGUGCUGCAUGGCUGUCGUCAGCUCGUGUUGUGAAAUGUUGGGUUAAGUCCCGCAACGAGCGCAACCCUUAUCCUUUGUUGCCAGCGGUCCGGCCGGGAACUCAAAGGAGACUGCCAGUGAUAAACUGGAGGAAGGUGGGGAUGACGUCAAGUCAUCAUGGCCCUUACGACCAGGGCUACACACGUGCUACAAUGGCGCAUACAAAGAGAAGCGACCUCGCGAGAGCAAGCGGACCUCAUAAAGUGCGUCGUAGUCCGGAUUGGAGUCUGCAACUCGACUCCAUGAAGUCGGAAUCGCUAGUAAUCGUGGAUCAGAAUGCCACGGUGAAUACGUUCCCGGGCCUUGUACACACCGCCCGUCACACCAUGGGAGUGGGUUGCAAAAGAAGUAGGUAGCUUAACCUUCGGGAGGGCGCUUACCACUUUGUGAUUCAUGACUGGGGUGAAGUCGUAACAAGGUAACCGUAGGGGAACCUGCGGUUGGAUCACCUCCUUACCUUAAAGAAGC
RNAcentral lists this ribosomal RNA (1554 nucleotides) under Escherichia coli. RNAcentral's name for it is "16S ribosomal RNA". It matches the Rfam family "Bacterial small subunit ribosomal RNA". RNAcentral also lists the same sequence under 1 other name. Lineage: Bacteria; Pseudomonadati; Pseudomonadota; Gammaproteobacteria; Enterobacterales; Enterobacteriaceae. The record is from RNAcentral.